Molecule: unclassified non-coding RNA, 215 nt
Filed under: fungal sp.
Lineage: Eukaryota; Fungi
Description: partial internal transcribed spacer region
Rfam family: Eukaryotic small subunit ribosomal RNA (bases 1-46)
Source: RNAcentral
AAGUCGUAACAAGGUUUCCGUAGGUGAACCUGCGGAAGGAUCAUUUGUGAUCUGCACACGCUAGGCAUGAAAGUGCUUAGUGUGGAAGCGAAUCAUGUGCAGCUGUUUUAGUAUAUAACUUACCUUACACCUGAAUGUAAUACACACUAUGCGACAGUAUUUCACUGGCGCAUGAACAAAGCUUACAACUUUUAACAAUGGAUCUCUUGGCUCUU